RNAcentral lists this ribosomal RNA (254 nucleotides) under uncultured bacterium. Its description in RNAcentral is "partial 16S ribosomal RNA". It matches the Rfam family "Bacterial small subunit ribosomal RNA", at positions 524 to 777 of the family's 1533-position model. The record is from RNAcentral.
UACAGAGGGGGCAAGCGUUGUUCGGAAUUACUGGGCGUAAAGGGCGCGUAGGCGCCUUCUAAGUCGAACGUGAAAUCCCCGGGCUCAACCCGGGAACUGCGUCCGAUACUGGAAGGCUUGAAUCCGGGAGAGGGAUGUGGAAUUCCAGGUGUAGCGGUGAAAUGCGUAGAUAUCUGGAGGAACACCGGUGGCGAAGGCGACAUCCUGGACCGGUAUUGGACGCUGAGGCGCGAAAGCCAGGGGAGCAAAGCGGG